Molecule: long non-coding RNA, 796 nt
Organism: Ipomoea triloba (trilobed morning glory)
Lineage: Eukaryota; Viridiplantae; Streptophyta; Magnoliopsida; Solanales; Convolvulaceae
Exons: 2
Source: RefSeq, a predicted model, not a curated record
GGUCUGAAACUCUUGGGCUAUCUACAUCUGAAGCCUAUAUAAGGCAGGUUUAAUCAAUCAAUACAUACAAUCGCAAAAAUACUAAGGAGUGUUCUGCCAAUAUGGGGAUGUACGAUCUUGGUCGUGAUUUGUCAACCUUCACGAAUAAGAGCUUCAGGAAUAAGAGCGCGAUCAAGGUAAGGGUUGUAUGUACGUACUUAGUGAUGGAGAGGAAAGGUUUGUAUUCCAUGAUGAACAUGUACGUCUCAUCCUCCCUUAUUCACCUGCGAAAUAAUAUUUCUGUAGUUAGUAUGGUGCACUUUAAAAAUUAAAAGAAUGUUUUCUGCUUGCAGGGCUCUGUUAAACAUGUGCUUAUACCAAAAACAUUAGUAGACAAUUUCAUGAACAGCAAACUGACAGGUUUUUUAAUUAUCUUGGUGAUGAUAACAAACUGACAGGUUUUUUUCAAUUAUGGUUGAAAAUUUAGGGUUUCCUAAGUGAUGAGGCAGACAGUCCAGUGCAACUCUUGGAAUGACCACACCACAUGAGGUUAGUGAAGGCCCUGCCAAGAGGUCCUUGCUAGAUGAGUUCUCAUCGACCAAGGAAUCGAAGAAAAUUAGAGAAACUGUUGUCAAAAGUUGAAAAGAUAGAUUAGGUUGGGGUUGAUGAUGAAUUGAAUUCUGUAAUGGAUAUUCUGAACAAUUUUUUUGACAAACUUGAGAUUUUGAACUUUUGUUUUAUUGUUUGUGCACUAUAGUCCUGAACAAUAAUGUACUGGAAUUGGUUUAUGAAGAGCUAUUCUAAUAGUUCUAAUUUA